AGGACGAACGCUGGCGGCGUGCCUAACACAUGCAAGUCGAGCGGGGUCCAUCCGGUAGCAAUACCGGGGAAGACCUAGCGGCGAACGGGUGAGUAACACGUGAGAAACCUGCCCCGAAGUCUGGGAUAACCCGAGGAAACUCGAGCUAAUACCGGAUGUCUUCUUCUGAUCGCAUGGUCGGAUGAAGAAAGAUUUAUCGCUUCGGGAGGGUCUCGCGGCCUAUCAGCUAGUUGCGGGUAACGGCCCACCAGGGCGUCGACGGGUAGCUGGUCUGAGAGGACGAUCAGCCACACUGGGACUGAGACACGGCCCAGACUCCUACGGGAGGCAGCAGUGGGGAAUAUUGCGCAAUGGGCGAAAGCCUGACGCAGCAACGCCGCGUGCGGGAUGAAGGCCUUCGGGUUGUAAACCGCUUUCAGUGGGGACGAAUUCAGACGGUACCCACAGAAGAAGCCCCGGCCAACUACGUG
Molecule: ribosomal RNA, 470 nt
Filed under: uncultured bacterium
Lineage: Bacteria
Description: bacterial SSU rRNA
Rfam family: Bacterial small subunit ribosomal RNA
Source: RNAcentral